AGAACGAAUGCUGGCGGCAGGCUUAACACAUGCAAGUCGAGCGCCCCGCAAGGGGAGCGGCGCACGGGUGAGUAACGCGUGGGAAUAUGCCCUUUGGUACGGAAUAGCCUCGGGAAACUGGGAGUAAUACCGUAUAUGACGAAAGUUGAAAGAUUUAUCGCCAAAGGAUUAGCCCGCGUUAGAUUAGCUUGUUGGUGGGGUAAUGGCCUACCAAGGCGACGAUCUAUAGCUGGUCUGAGAGGAUGAUCAGCCACACUGGAACUGAGACACGGUCCAGACUCCUACGGGAGGCAGCAGUGGGGAAUAUUGGACAAUGGGCGCAAGCCUGAUCCAGCCAUGCCGCGUGAGUGAAGAAGGUCUUCGGAUUGUAAAGCUCUUUCGACGGGGACGAUGAUGACGGUACCCGUAGAAGAAGCCCCGGCUAACUUCGUGCCAGCAGCCGC
This 443-nucleotide ribosomal RNA is filed under the name uncultured bacterium. RNAcentral describes it as "SSU rRNA". It matches the Rfam family "Bacterial small subunit ribosomal RNA", at positions 26 to 518 of the family's 1533-position model. The record is from RNAcentral.